GACCUAGAGUUACUGUAGAGGGGGGGUAGAAAUUUCCAGGUGUAGCGGCUGAAAUGCGUAGAGAUCUGAAGGAAUCCCGGUGGCGAAGGCGGGCCCCCCGGACCAGAUACUGACCACUCAGAUGCGAAAAGCCUGGGGAGCAAACAGGAUUAGAUACCCUGGUAGGUCCACGCCCGUAAACGAUGUCUACUUGGAAGUUGUGGCCCUGAGCCCGUGGCUUUCGGAGCUAACGCGUUAAGUAGACCGCCUGGGGAUACGGUCGCAAGAUUAAAACUCAAAUGAAUUGACGGGGCCCCGCACAAGCGGUGGCGCAUGUGGUUUAAUUCGAUGCAACGCGAAGAACCUUACCUACUUUUGACAUCCAGAGAACUUUCCAGAGAUGGAUUGGUGCCUUCGGGAACUCUGAGACAGGUGCUGCAUGGCUGUCGUCAGCUCGUGUUGUGAAAUGUUGGGUUAAGUCCCGCAACGAGCGCAACCCUUAUCCUUGUUUGCCAGCGAGUAAUGUCGGGAACUCCAGGGAGACUCCCCGUGAUAAACCGGAGGAAGGUGGGGACGACGUCAAGUCAUCAUGGCCCUUACGAGUAGGGCUACACACGUGCUACAAUUGCGCAUACAGAGGGCGGCCAACUUGAGAAAGUGAGCGAAUCCCAAAAAUGCAUCGUAGUCCGGAUGGAGUCUCAACUCGACUCCCAUGAAGUUGGAAAUCCCUUGUUAAUCCGUGGUAUCCAGUAAUCCCAACAGGGGUGAAAAUAACCGAUUUC
This 761-nucleotide ribosomal RNA is filed under the name Vibrio alginolyticus. RNAcentral describes it as "bacterial SSU rRNA". It matches the Rfam family "Bacterial small subunit ribosomal RNA", at positions 638 to 1369 of the family's 1533-position model. The record is from RNAcentral. Lineage: Bacteria; Pseudomonadati; Pseudomonadota; Gammaproteobacteria; Vibrionales; Vibrionaceae.